ACGAACGCUGGCGGCAGGCCUCACACAUGCAAGUCGAGCGAGGACUUCGGUUCUAGCGGCGGACGGGUGAGUAACGCGUGGGAAUGUGCCCUUCUCUACGGAAUAGCCCUGGGAAACUGGGAGUAAUACCGUAUACGCCCUUUUGGGGAAAGAUUUAUCGGAGAAGGAUCAGCCCGCGUUGGAUUAGGUAGUUGGUGGGGUAAUGGCCUACCAAGCCGACGAUCCAUAGCUGGUUUGAGAGGAUGAUCAGCCACACUGGGACUGAGACACGGCCCAGACUCCUACGGGAGGCAGCAGUGGGGAAUCUUAGACAAUGGGGGCAACCCUGAUCUAGCCAUGCCGCGUGAGUGAUGAAGGCCUUAGGGUUGUAAAGCUCUUUCAGCUGGGAAGAUAAUGACGGUACCAGCAGAAGAAGCCCCGGCUAACUCCGUG
Molecule: ribosomal RNA, 432 nt
Filed under: uncultured bacterium
Lineage: Bacteria
Description: partial 16S ribosomal RNA
Rfam family: Bacterial small subunit ribosomal RNA
Source: RNAcentral